GACGAACGCUGGCGGCGUGCCUAAUACAUGCGAGUUGAGCGCUGAAGGUUGGUACUUGUACCAACUGGAUGAGCAGCGAACGGGUGAGUAACGCGUGGGGAAUCUGCCUUUGAGCGGGGGACAACACUUGGAAACGAAUGCUAAUACCGCAUAAAAACUUUAAACACAAGUUUUAAGUUUGAAAGAUGCAAUUGCAUCACUCAAAGAUGAUCCCGCGUUGUAUUAGCUAGUUGGUGAGGUAAAGGCUCACCAAGGCGAUGAUACAUAGCCGACCUGAGAGGGUGAUCGGCCACAUUGGGACUGAGACACGGCCCAAACUCCUACGGGAGGCAGCAGUAGGGAAUCUUCGGCAAUGGACGAAAGUCUGACCGAGCAACGCCGCGUGAGUGAAGAAGGGUUUCGGAUCGUAAAACUCUGUUGGUAGAGAAGAACGUUGGUGAGAGUGGAAAGCUCAUCAAGUGACGGUAACUACACAGAAAGGGACGGCUAACUACGUG
This 497-nucleotide ribosomal RNA is filed under the name uncultured bacterium. RNAcentral's name for it is "partial 16S ribosomal RNA". It matches the Rfam family "Bacterial small subunit ribosomal RNA", at positions 28 to 507 of the family's 1533-position model. The record is from RNAcentral.